RNAcentral lists this ribosomal RNA (1289 nucleotides) under Staphylococcus aureus. RNAcentral's name for it is "bacterial SSU rRNA". It matches the Rfam family "Bacterial small subunit ribosomal RNA", at positions 1 to 1271 of the family's 1533-position model. The record is from RNAcentral. Lineage: Bacteria; Bacillati; Bacillota; Bacilli; Caryophanales; Staphylococcaceae.
UUUAUGGAGAGUUUGAUCCUGGCUCAGGAUGAACGCUGGCGGCGUGCCUAAUACAUGCAAGUCGAGCGAACGGACGAGAAGCUUGCUUCUCUGAUGUUAGCGGCGGACGGGUGAGUAACACGUGGAUAACCUACCUAUAAGACUGGGAUAACUUCGGGAAACCGGAGCUAAUACCGGAUAAUAUUUUGAACCGCAUGGUUCAAAAGUGAAAGACGGUCUUGCUGUCACUUAUAGAUGGAUCCGCGCUGCAUUAGCUAGUUGGUAAGGUAACGGCUUACCAAGGCAACGAUGCAUAGCCGACCUGAGAGGGUGAUCGGCCACACUGGAACUGAGACACGGUCCAGACUCCUACGGGAGGCAGCAGUAGGGAAUCUUCCGCAAUGGGCGAAAGCCUGACGGAGCAACGCCGCGUGAGUGAUGAAGGUCUUCGGAUCGUAAAACUCUGUUAUUAGGGAAGAACAUAUGUGUAAGUAACUGUGCACAUCUUGACGGUACCUAAUCAGAAAGCCACGGCUAACUACGUGCCAGCAGCCGCGGUAAUACGUAGGUGGCAAGCGUUAUCCGGAAUUAUUGGGCGUAAAGCGCGCGUAGGCGGUUUUUUAAGUCUGAUGUGAAAGCCCACGGCUCAACCGUGGAGGGUCAUUGGAAACUGGAAAACUUGAGUGCAGAAGAGGAAAGUGGAAUUCCAUGUGUAGCGGUGAAAUGCGCAGAGAUAUGGAGGAACACCAGUGGCGAAGGCGACUUUCUGGUCUGUAACUGACGCUGAUGUGCGAAAGCGUGGGGAUCAAACAGGAUUAGAUACCCUGGUAGUCCACGCCGUAAACGAUGAGUGCUAAGUGUUAGGGGGUUUCCGCCCCUUAGUGCUGCAGCUAACGCAUUAAGCACUCCGCCUGGGGAGUACGACCGCAAGGUUGAAACUCAAAGGAAUUGACGGGGACCCGCACAAGCGGUGGAGCAUGUGGUUUAAUUCGAAGCAACGCGAAGAACCUUACCAAAUCUUGACAUCCUUUGACAACUCUAGAGAUAGAGCCUUCCCCUUCGGGGGACAAAGUGACAGGUGGUGCAUGGUUGUCGUCAGCUCGUGUCGUGAGAUGUUGGGUUAAGUCCCGCAACGAGCGCAACCCUUAAGCUUAGUUGCCAUCAUUAAGUUGGGCACUCUAAGUUGACUGCCGGUGACAAACCGGAGGAAGGUGGGGAUGACGUCAAAUCAUCAUGCCCCUUAUGAUUUGGGCUACACACGUGCUACAAUGGACAAUACAAAGGGCAGCGAAACCGCGAGGUCAAGCAAA